GGUGACACGUGGAGCUGACGAAUACUAAUCGAUCGAAGACUUAAUCAAUUU
Molecule: ribosomal RNA, 51 nt
Filed under: Staphylococcus epidermidis
Lineage: Bacteria; Bacillati; Bacillota; Bacilli; Caryophanales; Staphylococcaceae
Description: partial 23S ribosomal RNA
Source: RNAcentral